GUGAACAAUCUCACCCUAAGCCACACAGUUAGCAGUGGAGCAAAAACAAAGUUGAUCUUAUCUGAAAGCCUUCCGGGAGCACGUGCCUGACAUUUGGAACGAACAAAUGAAUGCGUGGCUAGGAAGACCUUUGAGCCGAGAUCUGACUGGAUUUAGGAAGAGAAUUCAGCAGAGCCCUAAGCCAGAAGUGUACUAGAAACCAGCAACGGGAAGUGAGGUGGCCAAUGUGACUGGAACUGACCGGUGCAAGAGAGACAAUAGUGGAAGUCGCGGCUUGGUGGGUGCCUUGACUUUGGGCCCAGUUUCCGGUUU
Propithecus coquereli (Coquerel's sifaka) is the source of this 312-nucleotide long non-coding RNA. RefSeq lists it as uncharacterized. The transcript is spliced from 3 exons. The record is from RefSeq and is a predicted model, not a curated record. NCBI's taxonomy places the organism in Eukaryota, Metazoa, Chordata, Mammalia, Primates, Indriidae.